GAGUUGUUUCCAACAAUCAAAACCACCCUCCAAGGUUGAAGAUUUGCCACCAAUGAGGCUAUUUAAAGUCAUGUGCAACAGUUCUGCUGGCAGUUACCAGAGUGGGAGCUGAGGAGGGGGUCCAAACAAUGUGCCUGGCAUUCUGUAAGUUCUUGAGGACACAAAGAUGGGUAAUGUGCCAACAUCAUAACAAGGUUCAAGGGAGGCACAUCUCAUACGAGUGUGAAAAGGCAAUCAUCAUGCUUCUGAACUACAAGAUUAUCCUAUAUAUUUAUUUUCAAUUAUUUUAUCCUCCUCUGCCUCUUGCCCUGGACUAUAUAAGACCUGCAAUAUAAUGUUGAAUAAGGAAGGUGAAAACGAACAUCAUUGCAUCACUCCUGAUAUCAAA
This is a long non-coding RNA of Pan troglodytes (chimpanzee), 388 nucleotides long. RefSeq lists it as uncharacterized. The record is from RefSeq and is a predicted model, not a curated record. The transcript is spliced from 3 exons. Lineage: Eukaryota; Metazoa; Chordata; Mammalia; Primates; Hominidae.